This 175-nucleotide non-coding RNA is filed under the name bovine gut metagenome. RNAcentral's name for it is "Lysine riboswitch". It matches the Rfam family "Lysine riboswitch aptamer". From Rfam's summary of the family: Riboswitches are metabolite binding domains within certain messenger RNAs that serve as precision sensors for their corresponding targets. Allosteric rearrangement of mRNA structure is mediated by ligand binding, and this results in modulation of gene expression. This family includes riboswitches that sense lysine in a number of genes involved in lysine metabolism, including lysC. The record is from RNAcentral.
AAGUAGAGGUUGCGGGUGCCAAUAGUACCUUAGCCUAGCAGUCAAAGCUGCGAUUAGGCUAUUCGGGAAAGGGGCAUUCGCCGAAGGAGUCUUCGUCUUUGAAGAAGAUCUUCCUGGGACUUGAGAGAACAUCUCAAGAACUGUCACCUUGCUAUAGUAGGGUGAAGAGCUAACU